GGGGGGGGGCAUGUGCACGUCUUCCCUUUUGUUGACCCAUUCUCUCUCAAAUGCUACACCUUGUGCACCUAUUGUAGGUCCUCGACAGAGGAUCUAUGUUUUUCAUAUCACACCUUGUUGCAUGUCUAUAGAAUGUAUUGCAAACCGUCAACCCGACGGUCAAAUAAAAAUCAUACAACUUUCAGCAACGGAUCUCUUGGCUCUCGCAUCGAUGAAAAACGCAGCGAAUUGCGAUAAGUAAUGUGAAUUGCAGAUUUUCAGUGAAUCAUCGAAUCUUUGAACGCACCUUGCGCUCCUUGGUAUUCCGAGGAGCAUGCCUGUUUGAGUGUCAUCGAAUUCUCAAUCAUGUCUUGAUGCAUUUCAAGGACAUGGCUUGGAGUUGGGGGUUGCUGGUGGCGAAAAUGCUGUCAGCUCUCCUGAAAUGCAUUAGCAAAGGGUGGCAAGUCUUUUCGACGUGCAACGGCCUUCGACGUGAUAAUGAUC
RNAcentral lists this unclassified non-coding RNA (483 nucleotides) under Boletus sp. 4 CG-2012. RNAcentral describes it as "sequence contains ITS1, 5.8S rRNA gene, ITS2". The stretch from base 177 to 331 matches the Rfam family "5.8S ribosomal RNA". The record is from RNAcentral. Lineage: Eukaryota; Fungi; Basidiomycota; Agaricomycetes; Boletales; Boletaceae.